GAUCAGCAGUGACUGCAGUGAUGUAAGAGUGAGUUACCACACAGGCCUGGGCCACGGCGUAUAUUAAGAGCACUAUGAACACACACAGGACGGU
This is a long non-coding RNA of Sinocyclocheilus grahami, 94 nucleotides long. RefSeq lists it as uncharacterized. The record is from RefSeq and is a predicted model, not a curated record. NCBI's taxonomy places the organism in Eukaryota, Metazoa, Chordata, Actinopteri, Cypriniformes, Cyprinidae. The transcript is spliced from 3 exons.